This 122-nucleotide ribosomal RNA is filed under the name Ochotona princeps (American pika). The record is from RNAcentral. Lineage: Eukaryota; Metazoa; Chordata; Mammalia; Lagomorpha; Ochotonidae.
GUCCAUGACCAUACCACUCUGAACAUGCCCAAUCUCAUGAUCUCAUCUGAACUCAGAAGCUAAGCAGGGUCGGGCCUGGUUAUUACUUGGAAGGGAGAAGUGGAACAGCUAGGACUUGAACC